This 443-nucleotide ribosomal RNA is filed under the name uncultured bacterium. Its description in RNAcentral is "partial 16S ribosomal RNA". It matches the Rfam family "Bacterial small subunit ribosomal RNA", at positions 338 to 795 of the family's 1533-position model. The record is from RNAcentral.
CCUACGGGUGGCUGCAGUGGGGACUAUUGGGCAAUGGGCGCAAGCCUGACCCAGCAACGCCGCGUGCAGGACGAAGGCUUUCGGGUUGUAAACUUCUUUUCUAAGGGACGACGGAAGUGACGGUACCUGAGGAAUAAGCCACGGUUAACUACGUGCCAGCAGCCGCGGUAAUACGUAGGUGGCAAGCGUUAUCCGGAUUUAAUGGGUGUAAAGGGCGUGUAGGCGGGAAAGCAAGUCAGAUGUGAAAACCACGGGCUCAACCUGUGGCCUGCAUUUGAAACUGUUUUUCUUUAGUACUGGAGAGUCAGACGGAAUGCCUAGUGUAGCGGUGAAAUGCGUAGAUAUUAGGAGGAACACCAGUGGCGAAGGCGGUCUGCUGGACUGUAACUGACGUUGAGGCUCGAAAGCGUGGGGAGCAAACAGGAUUAGAUACCCCAGUAGUC